This 73-nucleotide transfer RNA is filed under the name Pteropus alecto (black flying fox). It matches the Rfam family "tRNA". From Rfam's summary of the family: Transfer RNA (tRNA) molecules are approximately 80 nucleotides in length. Their secondary structure includes four short double-helical elements and three loops (D, anti-codon, and T loops). Lineage: Eukaryota; Metazoa; Chordata; Mammalia; Chiroptera; Pteropodidae. The record is from Rfam by way of RNAcentral.
GGUUCCUUAGUGUAGCGGUUAGCACAUCUGCUUUACACGCAGAAGGUCCUGGGUUCGUGCCCCAGUGGAGCCA